This 334-nucleotide ribosomal RNA is filed under the name uncultured Desulfocapsa sp. RNAcentral's name for it is "bacterial SSU rRNA". It matches the Rfam family "Bacterial small subunit ribosomal RNA", at positions 1044 to 1374 of the family's 1533-position model. The record is from RNAcentral. Lineage: Bacteria; Pseudomonadati; Thermodesulfobacteriota; Desulfobulbia; Desulfobulbales; Desulfocapsaceae.
AGUCGUUGUCGUCAGCUCGUGUCGUGAGAUGUUGGGUUAAGUCCCGCAACGAGCGCAACCCUUGUCUUUAGUUGCCAUCAUUAAGUUGGGCACUCUAAAGAGACUGCCGGUGUCAAACCGGAGGAAGGUGGGGAUGACGUCAAGUCCUCAUGGCCUUUAUGACCAGGGCUACACACGUACUACAAUGGCCGGUACAAAGGGCAGCGACACAGCGAUGUGAAGCCAAUCCCGAAAAGCCGGUCUCAGUCCGGAUUGGAGUCUGCAACUCGACUCCAUGAAGUUGGAAUCGCUAGUAAUCGUGGAUCAGCACGCCACGUCGAUACGUUCCGGCCUU